This 75-nucleotide transfer RNA is filed under the name Allium ampeloprasum (leek). Its description in RNAcentral is "partial tRNA-Leu". It matches the Rfam family "tRNA", at positions 11 to 71 of the family's 71-position model. From Rfam's summary of the family: Transfer RNA (tRNA) molecules are approximately 80 nucleotides in length. Their secondary structure includes four short double-helical elements and three loops (D, anti-codon, and T loops). RNAcentral also lists the same sequence under 12 other names. The record is from RNAcentral. Lineage: Eukaryota; Viridiplantae; Streptophyta; Magnoliopsida; Asparagales; Amaryllidaceae.
CGAAAUCGGUAGACGCUACGGACUUAAAAUCCGUCGACUUUAGAAAUCGUGAGGGUUCAAGUCCCUCUAUCCCCA